This 28-nucleotide transfer RNA is filed under the name Podarcis hispanicus (Iberian wall lizard). RNAcentral's name for it is "partial tRNA-Thr". Lineage: Eukaryota; Metazoa; Chordata; Lepidosauria; Squamata; Lacertidae. The record is from RNAcentral.
GUUUUAGUAGCUUAAAACUAGAGCACUG